AGGCAUGCAGUCGAGUGGGUUUAGACCCACGGCGAACGAGGUAGUAACACGUAGGAACAUACCCCAUGGUCGGGAAUAACCUGUCGAAAGGCAGGAUAAUACCCGAUAUAUCUUCGGAUGAAAAAUUUAUUGCCAUGGGAUUGGCCUGCGACGUAUCAGCUUGUUGGUAGUGUAAUAGACUACCAAGGCUACGACGCGUAGGGGAGGUGAGAGCCUGACCCCCACCGAUGGGACUGAGACACGGCCCAUACUCCUACGGGAGGCAGCAGCCGAGAAUCUUCCGCAAUGGACGAAAGUCUGACGGAGCCAUACAGCGUGGUAGAUGACACCCUUCGGGGCGUAAAUACCUUUUAUAAGUGAAGAAGUUUAUUGACAUUAACUUAUGAAUAAGGGGCUCCAAACUCUGUGCCAGCAGGAGCGGUAAUACAGAGGCCCCAAGCGUUAUCCGGAAUUAUUGGGCGUAAAGGGUUCGUAGGUGGUUAUAUUAGUCUCUUGUUAAAGCACCAGGCUCAACCUGGGACAUGCAAGGGAAACGGUAUGACUAGAGGGCGAGAGAGGUGUGUGGAACUCAUGGUGUAGGGGUGAAAUCCGUUGAUAUCAUGGGGAACACCAAAUGCGAAGGCAACACACUGGCUCGUACCUGACACUGAGGAACGAAACCUAGGGUAGCGAACGGGAUUAGAUACCCCGGUAGUCCUAGGCCUAAACGAUGCAUACUGGUUUUUGGAGGAAUCGAC
This 737-nucleotide ribosomal RNA is filed under the name uncultured bacterium. RNAcentral's name for it is "bacterial SSU rRNA". It matches the Rfam family "Bacterial small subunit ribosomal RNA", at positions 51 to 836 of the family's 1533-position model. The record is from RNAcentral.